AUGCGGAAAAGGGUAACCAGUCCGUCCCCGUCUACUUCGCCCGCAUGCGUUUGCUUGCUGAUGAGCUUGCGGCUGCCGGGAGACCCAUGCAAGACGAUGAACUCAUCUCCUUCAUCCUGGCCGGCCUCGACCUCGACUACAAUCCUCUGGUAUCUGCUCUUGAUGCUCGCCCUGAACCCAUCACUCUCGACGGCUUGUACUCGCAGAUGGCGAAUUUUGAUCAGAGGAUGGAGCUGUUCCAAGGCUCCGGCGGCAACGGUGGCUUCAAGUCCUCCGCUAAUGCUGCUGCUCGCGGGCGCGGCUAUCAGCGUGGAUGUGGGGCGUCACGUGGAAGAAGCGGCGAUAGUGGCACCAAUGGCCAAGGCCGAGGCUACACCAACGGCAACAGCAGUGCCCCUCCCUCCUACACCAACAACAAGGGGGGGGGGGCGAUCUGGUGCGCCAGGAGGACCAGGCGGCCCAGGACCAAACGGUGGUGGCUUCCACAACGACAACCGCCCGCGUUGUCAGAUCUGCAGCAAGCCGGGCCACAUCGCCAUGGAGUGCUGGUACCGCUUCACCGAGGACUACCUUCCAGAAGAGAAGGUGGGCGCAUCUGCAACAACAAGCUCAUACGGGAUAGAUACCAACUGGUAUGCGGACAGUGGUGCUACCAACCACAUCACCGGCGAGCUCGAGAAGCUCACCACCCGCGACAAGUAUCGUGGUGGUGAUCAAGUCUACACUGCUGAAGGUGCAGGAUCGGGCCACGGGGAGGGUGCUGCAUCGAGGCAGGUGUAG
This 780-nucleotide ribosomal RNA is filed under the name Triticum aestivum (bread wheat). Its description in RNAcentral is "partial small subunit ribosomal RNA". The stretch from base 84 to 222 matches the Rfam family "Small nucleolar RNA Z247". The record is from RNAcentral. Lineage: Eukaryota; Viridiplantae; Streptophyta; Magnoliopsida; Poales; Poaceae.